RNAcentral lists this ribosomal RNA (253 nucleotides) under uncultured bacterium. Its description in RNAcentral is "partial 16S ribosomal RNA". It matches the Rfam family "Bacterial small subunit ribosomal RNA", at positions 524 to 776 of the family's 1533-position model. The record is from RNAcentral.
UACGGAGGGUGCAAGCGUUAUCCGGAUUCACUGGGUUUAAAGGGUGCGUAGGUGGAUUGGUAAGUCAGUGGUGAAAUCUCUGGGCUUAACCCGGAAACUGCCAUUGAUACUAUCAGUCUUGAAUACCGUGGAGGUCAGUAGAAUAUGUCAUGUAGCGGUGAAAUGCUUAGAUAUGACAUAGAAUACCAAUUGCGAAGGCAGCUGGCUACACGAAUAUUGACACUCAGGCACGAAAGCGUGGGGAUCAAACAGG